RNAcentral lists this small RNA (119 nucleotides) under Escherichia coli. Its description in RNAcentral is "RtT sRNA". It matches the Rfam family "RtT RNA". From Rfam's summary of the family: This family represents a bacterial cis-regulatory element known as RtT RNA. Lineage: Bacteria; Pseudomonadati; Pseudomonadota; Gammaproteobacteria; Enterobacterales; Enterobacteriaceae. The record is from RNAcentral.
ACGGACCGCAUCCCGGAAGGGGUGAUACGGAUGCACGACGAGCGUCAGCGAGAGAGCGUUGCCGCAGCAGACCCGAAGGGCGAAGCGCGCAGCGCUGAGUAAUCCUUCCCCCACCACCA